RNAcentral lists this ribosomal RNA (460 nucleotides) under uncultured bacterium. RNAcentral's name for it is "partial 16S ribosomal RNA". It matches the Rfam family "Bacterial small subunit ribosomal RNA", at positions 338 to 795 of the family's 1533-position model. The record is from RNAcentral.
CCUACGGGUGGCUGCAGUGAGGAAUAUUGGUCAAUGGACGAGAGUCUGAACCAGCCAAGUAGCGUGAAGGAUGACUGCCCUCUGGGUUGUAAACUUCUUUUAUAUGGGAAUAAAACGUUUCACGUGUGGGAUUUUGUAUGUACCAUAUGAAUAAGGAUCGGCUAACUCCGUGCCAGCAGCCGCGGUAAUACGGAGGAUCCGAGCGUUAUCCGGAUUUAUUGGGUUUAAAGGGAGCGUAGGUGGAUUGUUAAGUCAGUUGUGAAAGUUUGCGGCUCAACCGUAAAAUUGCAGUUGAAACUGGCAGUCUUGAGUACAGUAGAGGUGGGCGGAAUUCGUGGUGUAGCGGUGAAAUGCUUAGAUAUCACGAAGAACUCCGAUUGCGAAGGCAGUUCACUGGACUGCAACUGACGCUGAGGCUCGAAAGUGUGGGUAUCAAACAGGAUUAGAUACCCCAGUAGUC